GACGAACGCUGGCGGCGUGCCUAACACAUGCAAGUCGAGCGGAGAACUUCGGUUCUCAGCGGCGGACGGGUGAGUAACACGUGGGUAACCUGCCUUGUAGAGGGGGAUAGCCUUCCGAAAGGAAGAUUAAUACCGCAUAACAUUAUUUUAUCGCAUGAUAGAAUAAUCAAAGGAGCAAUCCGCUACAAGAUGGACCCGCGGCGCAUUAGCUAGUUGGUGAGGUAACGGCUCACCAAGGCGACGAUGCGUAGCCGGCCUGAGAGGGUGAACGGCCACAUUGGAACUGAGACACGGUCCAGACUCCUACGGGAGGCAG
RNAcentral lists this ribosomal RNA (316 nucleotides) under uncultured Bacillota bacterium. RNAcentral describes it as "bacterial SSU rRNA". It matches the Rfam family "Bacterial small subunit ribosomal RNA", at positions 28 to 351 of the family's 1533-position model. The record is from RNAcentral. Lineage: Bacteria; Bacillati; Bacillota.